UGUUCUACUUAAAUAUGAAACAUUGAAACAUCCUCUUCUUGAUUCAUGGGUGUAUCAUUUUAUCUUCUUUUUGCAGGAUUCCUCAAGUACCUGGAAAUUCUUCUUUGCUCAUAUUCAAAAUGAGGAAUUGCAGUGCAUAUUGUUGGGCUGGCUGAGAGACAGGGGCAUCCAAAAUGGUGGACAUCUCAAAUUGGGUCAAGAUGGCUGAUCUUCCCACCAAAGCAGCCAUGACCACCACGUCAUCUCCAGUAAAUUGAAACCUAGACGGGAAACCAAAACUUUCCACCCGGGACUUUCCAGGCGGGGACCACUCCCUAUCCUGGACUUUCCCCACCCCCAGCCAAUCACCUAAGGACACGGUGUUCCCUUCCCUAAUUUGGCAAGGGCCCCACCCGGAUCCAGCAAGGCUUAAAAAUCCCUGCACUCCCCAACCCGGUCUGACUUCCCUGACUCUCCUCCCGAGUCGCAGAACCUGGCCCGAGGGUGCUGGCAAUAAAGCU
This is a long non-coding RNA of Canis lupus familiaris (dog), 500 nucleotides long. RefSeq lists it as uncharacterized. NCBI's taxonomy places the organism in Eukaryota, Metazoa, Chordata, Mammalia, Carnivora, Canidae. The transcript has 3 exons. The record is from RefSeq and is a predicted model, not a curated record.